UAAUACAGCUCUUUUGGCUGCAUUUUCCCUUAUGCUAUAGAAGCCCACAGCAUUGGAGUAACUGUCCACUUAAACCUCCCUUGCCAGAGCUGACUGCUAGCAGAAGUCCAUAUUUAAUGCCACUUCUGUAUAGAGUAAAACAGAUUUAGCAGAGUUACAUUUUCUGGUUAUAUUUGUCAUUAUGUGGCUCUGGUAAGAGCUCAGUAUCUCUUCUAAUGCUGUGUGCAGCUGAUGUUCCUAUAUUUCAUUAGUUACAAUGUACUGAAUUAGCAGGAAAAGGGAUGUCCCUUUCCUGAAUCAUCAUUUCAUAGUGUGCUUUAUGCUUUGGGGAAAGAACCUCAAGUGACUCAUACUUUUGUUAAUAUUUUAGAUUUUUACAAAUCGCAAACUUUAUACAACUCUCUUGGCUGUUAGCCAAUGGCUUUGUUUGCUUGAAUCUAGUGUACAGUCUGUUUGUUUGCUGGCACUGUGACAUGAAUCUCAAGGCUACCUCAAACUAUUGCAAGGUAUAGACUCCUGUGGUUUAGACAGUGAUGUCACCCUUGCAAGGAUCGCAGAGGGGAGAUGAGAGGUAUAGGCAACACAGACAAAUAGGUCUUAAACCUUUUUAAAGAAGUAUGAGUUCUCAGUUAGAUGUCUCUUCUUGCCAAUAGUGGUUGAAGGUAUUUUGGAGGCAGCCUCCUAUGGAGGGCAGAGAAGAGAGAACACAAGUUCCUUGGGUAGUUUAAGGAACCAUCUAGCUGAUGUUAGGUGUGGUGUGUAGGGCCUUGAGUAUUAGUGGGGAGUGGAGAACAAAAUGGUAGGGUGAGAGUCUAAAGACUUCUGAGGUUUUGCGUGAAGGCUGCUGGGGAUAUCCUUUCCCAAUUCAGUGUUGACAGCAGUGCUUAUCGGGAGCCUGCUAAGAGCCUACUAUGAAAAGAUACCAGACUUGAAGAAAUCAUUGCCGUGUAACUAGAGGAUUUGGGAUUCUUUCCCCCUGCCUCCCGUUCUUAAUGACUUUCUACAAGUAAAAACCAAGGACAGCUACUCCAAUGAAUCAUUAAACUUGACAUAAAAGUAGUCUUUGUAUAAGACUUAAGCAAAACAAACCAUAUUAUUUUGAAAAUGUUAAAUGAAUUUAAUUUCAUGCAGUUCUAAUUGUAUGAAAAUGAUGGAUUAGAAAUACUACUUGAAUAGUAACAUCUUAAGUUUUGUUUAUUAGGUGCAUCCUUGAUUUGACCUCUUUGCUACAGUAAUGGAGUUGCAUCCUGCUGUUGGAAUUAUACAGCAAAAUGAGAAGAUAUCAACAUGUAACACUACAUUUCAUGUUUUUAUUGAGAAGUUGCCUUCAGGAAAUGUCCUUUGAGGAAAAUCAAGUGAAUUAUAAACCAUUCAGUUGGUUUUCCUCGUGGCUGAUUUUUGACAUGUUCUGUUAGCUGUUAGAAACCUGUUGAAUAUCUUCAAUCCUGUAUAUCUUCAAUCCUGUAAACCUAGUUUAACAGCAGUCCAAAAAACCUGCACUACUUGUCAUGCAUUUAUAUAUAGAAAGUGACUUCAUUUCAAGGUUUUGUGCCGGUGGGUGGUAUUGGUGCUUUUCGAAGUCCAAGUAGAAUACUUAGAAAGGCCUUGUUGUUCGUUUAUGUUCAUCUGUAUAGUGUGGGGAGGGGAAAACCUGUUGUUGUUUCAGUACAAAUGUUUACCUUUUCUUUCCUCCUGCAAGCAACGCUGGUGGACUGCGGAAGAUAACAUGGGAUUCCAAGCUCUAAUGGACCUUUGUGAAGAGAAGUUGUGGCUCAUGUGGAAUUUACAUGGGCCUCUUGAUGGAAGAAAGCUUAUCUGUUUAGUAUUUGUGCAUUUUACUAAAAUGGCAGCUUUAAAAAAAAAAAAAAAAAGUUGUGUAUCUGCUAUUGUGAUGCCAAUGCCCGUGUUUUAAAGUGGAAAAAUGACCUCUUUGCUUUGUGCUGUGUACACAAGAUUUCUGGAAAAGUAAAGGAAUACCCUUUUUAUGGCUCACACAGCUUAAAAGUAGCUGUCACUCAAACAUGCGCUCACAGUUGAGCUGAUUUUGUUUCAUUCUAAAUAAAUUGUUUCUUUUGAGGAAAAUGUUUUUCUGCCUGGAAGUGAAUUGACAACAAACCUUUGACCCCUUUGUUUGCAGCUAAGGGGUACUUGCUGCUGCUGCUCAGUUGUUGAUCUGAUAGUUGUGGGUCUUGAGCAAGAAGCAGGGAGACCAUCACUUUCAUAUUGACCAGCCUGUUGUAUCAGAUCUGAAGAAUCUAGUUCAUUGUGUUGCUGUGGCACCUCCCUUUGAUUGCAAUGAAGGGGGUCAUUUGCUGCUAACUCCUCAUCUUUACGAGGAAACGGUGCUGAUGCGGGCAUGCAAGAAGCAGGGAAAACACCAUAAAAGCCUCAGAACAGUGUGCAAGUCUGGGGCUUCGCUGGUUUGAAGAGCUGGAGUUCCUGAAUUUUAAGUUUGAUUUAUUUUGUUCACCCAACUUGUUUGGCUUUAGUUUUGAUUUUUUUUUUUUUAAUUUGAAGAAAAAGUUUGAAAUUGCUUUGAAUCAUGCACGUAAACCUUUGCACCAAAUUGCCAAAAGAAAAGAAAAAUGAGUCUCAUUAAAAAGUGUUAAAUGAUGUUAAUAAAACCUUUCCUGACACACUUUGAGGAGCUCCUCCAUCUCCAGGGGCUUUUCACCAGAGUUAUGCAGUGAUGGGUUUAGUUCUGAAUGGAUGAAGAAUUCCAGAGCUAGAGUUUGUAAUUAAAACGUUUGCAUUGGUAUCAGUGCCUUAUUUUGGCCGGUUUUGAAGCAAAUGUUCCACACGCCUUGGAUGUGCAUGCACCCUGAUCGUUUCAUAGGUACGACUGCACGUUUGCUUGCGGUCACCUCAGUUUGUAGUACAGAUUGUGAGAGGAAAAUAUGGAGGCACCUUUGAAAAAAAUGUAUGCUGUAGUUCCUGCAUUAUCCUGUACGGGGGCUCCUGAGCUUUGGAAGGCUGUUCCAGUACAGGAGUACAACUCCAUGUUUGCUGCAGGAGACUUCGGGGCAUUUGACAACACCAGAGCUCAAGAGGAAGCUAACACUGCUGCAUCGUUGGCUUCAGAAACCUCUCGUGUUAUGUUUGCCAGUCUUUGUUAGAAUUAACUAGUCGCUGUCUGACAUGCAGAUGAAGACACCUUGAGAUGCGAGCUUGCUCUGGUUACCUUGAAAUCGUAAUCUACUGUGGAUAAAGAACCCUAGUCCUGUCCUUCAUCCAUGCAGGAUGAUUGCUAGGCAACAGGUGCUUAUCAACAAAGGAUGCCACGAUUUUGUUCUGCAAGGUGUCCGUUCCCGUGGCAAACAGCUGUAUAAAUCUCUUAUAAACAGGAUUGUUCAGCCCCUCUGGAUUGGUUAGAGGGACGCCUUAACGUGCCAGGUUUCCACAGAUAUGGAAGCAGGAACUGAAAACCCGCAACUGAGAGCCGGAGUACUAACAAAUUUACAAUGAUUUCUGCUUUUGUGGAAACAGGUACUGGGUCUUCAGAUAUAUAAGGUAAGUCUUUAAAAUAAGAGUUUAUAAAGUAUUUUAACUUUUAUUUUUGCAAAUUUGACCUCUUUUUCUCCAGAAACAAUUGAAAAAGCCACCAAGAUGAGUGGUUUGUUUGUUUUUUAUCAGUCAUGGUGAACAGCCAUAAGGUUUUAGAUUGUUACUGCAUUAUCAUCAAAAAUCAGAGCAGUCACAGUACAUUUUUAGUAAAAGUCAAGGAUUUUGUGCUGAUUGAUUAAAAAAAAUGCUGUGACAAAUGAAAUUCAACUAUACCUUGCUAAAAUAUAGGCUAGCAUCCUUCUCUGCUGCUUCCUCCUUGCCCUGACCACCCACAUUCGC
This is a long non-coding RNA of Trachemys scripta elegans, 3843 nucleotides long. RefSeq lists it as uncharacterized. The transcript is spliced from 3 exons. The record is from RefSeq and is a predicted model, not a curated record. Lineage: Eukaryota; Metazoa; Chordata; Testudines; Emydidae.